RNAcentral lists this ribosomal RNA (1304 nucleotides) under Thermoactinomyces sp. RNAcentral describes it as "bacterial SSU rRNA". It matches the Rfam family "Bacterial small subunit ribosomal RNA", at positions 56 to 1344 of the family's 1533-position model. Lineage: Bacteria; Bacillati; Bacillota; Bacilli; Caryophanales; Thermoactinomycetaceae. The record is from RNAcentral.
UGCAGUCGAGCGGGAGAAUCAUCCUUCGGGAUGAGGAUCCAGCGGCGAACGGGUGAGUAACACGUGGGCAACCUGCCCGCAAGACCGGGAUAACUCCGGGAAACCGGGGCUAAUACCGGAUAGGCCUUUUCCCCGCAUGGGGAAAAGGGGAAAGGCGGCUUCGGCUGUCACUUGCGGAUGGGCCCGCGGCGCAUUAGCUGGUUGGUGAGGUAACGGCUCACCAAGGCGACGAUGCGUAGCCGACCUGAGAGGGUGAUCGGCCACACUGGGACUGAGACACGGCCCAGACUCCUACGGGAGGCAGCAGUAGGGAAUUUUCCGCAAUGGGCGAAAGCCUGACGGAGCAACGCCGCGUGAGUGAGGACGGCCUUCGGGUUGUAAAACUCUGUUCUUGAGGAAGAAUUCCUUCCAGGCGAACAGCCUGGAAGGUUGACGGUACUCAAGGAGAAAGCCCCGGCUAACUACGUGCCAGCAGCCGCGGUAAUACGUAGGGGGCGAGCGUUAUCCGGAAUUAUUGGGCGUAAAGCGCGCGCAGGCGGCUGAUUAAGUCAGGUGUGAAAGGCUGCGGCUCAACCGCAGAGCGGCACCUGAAACUGGUCAGCUUGAGUGCAGGAGAGGGGAGCGGAAUUCCCGGUGUAGCGGUGGAAUGCGUAGAGAUCGGGAGGAACACCAGUGGCGAAGGCGGCUCUCUGGCCUGUAACUGACGCUGAGGCGCGAAAGCGUGGGGNAGCAAACAGGAUUAGAUACCCUGGUAGUCCACGCCGUAAACGAUGAGUGCUAGGUGUUGGGGGGCUACGCCCCUCAGUGCCGAAGGUAACCCAUUAAGCACUCCGCCUGGGGAGUACGGCCGCAAGGCUGAAACUCAAAGGAAUUGACGGGGGCCCGCACAAGCGGUGGAGCAUGUGGUUUAAUUCGAAGCAACGCGAAGAACCUUACCAGGGCUUGACAUCCCGCUGACCCCUCCAGAGAUGGAGGUUUCCUUCGGGACAGCGGUGACAGGUGGUGCAUGGUUGUCGUCAGCUCGUGUCGUGAGAUGUUGGGUUCAGUCCCGCAACGAGCGCAACCCUUGUCGUUAGUUGCCAGCAUUUCGGAUGGGCACUCUAACGAGACAGCCGGUGAAAGCCGGAGGAAGGUGGGGAUGACGUCAAAUCAUCAUGCCCCUUAUGUCCUGGGCUACACACGUGCUACAAUGGCUGGUACAAAGGGCAGCGAACCCGCGAGGGGGAGCCAAUCCCAAAAAGCCAGUCUCAGUUCGGAUCGCAGGCUGCAACUCGCCUGCGUGAAGCCGGAAUCGCUAGUAAUCG